Molecule: ribosomal RNA, 438 nt
Filed under: Triticum aestivum (bread wheat)
Lineage: Eukaryota; Viridiplantae; Streptophyta; Magnoliopsida; Poales; Poaceae
Description: partial small subunit ribosomal RNA
Source: RNAcentral
UGUUUAAUGCGAGACGGUUAUUCAUUUAAAUCAGAGAAUAAUGGUUGUUCUAUUAAUAUGAUUAAUAUCUUUUAUGGUCAUGCACCCUUGAAGAGUGGUCUAUUCGUAUUAAAUCUCGAUAGUAGUAAUACACAUAUUCAUAAUGUUGAAGCCAAAAGAUACAGAGUUGAUAAUGAAAGUGCAACUUAUUUGUGGCACUGUCGUUUAGGUCAUAUCGGUAUAAAGCGCAUGAAGAAACUCCAUACUGAUGGACUUUUGGAACCACUUGAUUAUGAAUCACUUGGUACUUGUGAACCGUGCCUCAUGGGCAAGAUGACUAAAACACCGUUCUCCAGUACUAUGGAGAGAGCAACAGAUUUAUUGGAAAUCAUACAUACCGAUGUAUGUGGUCCGAUGAAUAUUGAGGCUCGUGGCGGAUAUCGUUAUUUUCUCACCUUC